UCCCUGUUUCCCUUUCAUCCUUCCUCUGAGAUCAUUCUAGCCGUAAUAGGCACCCCUGUAACCCUGUUCCAGAACCUUCUCCCCUUAAUAGCUACAUCUGUGCCUACAUCCGAAGCUUUUGUCGAUGGGUGAAUUAUACCGGUUUCGUGGGCUGCAUUGGGAAACAUAGCUAUUUUCCAAUCCUAGGGUUAGGCAAUCCAGAACCUCCUGCUGAAUCACGUGCAAGCUCCUCUGCGUAUCAGCGUCAUGCUCCAGAGCCUCUGGCUAUAGCUGGAUGCACCAUGGUUAUAGACAACACAUGAACCCUAUCACCUAAUCUCCUAGCUAUAGCCAAUUCAGAUGUAGCUUUUCAAAAUCCAGUUGUGGAUUCUGCUUUCCAGGAUGUGCCUAAACUCUAGAUCAGAAGCCAGCUCUUCAUUCUUCUUUACAGAUGCUGUCAUGGUGGUUCUUAUGAGGAGUGAUUCAUGGCUAUGGUAGCUGAUAGUGCUCCAAUGAGGCAAGGAUCUGAUUCUACUUAUGGUUUACGGUGUUUGUUUUUAAGAUGCUGCAUGGCCAUAUAGAAAAAGGCAUUAGACCAUAGUUCCCUGUUGAAAGAAAAUGGGCUUUUGGCCUUCACAUACAGUGGAUGGGAAAAAGUAGGAAUUAAUUAAGGCCAACAGAAAAAGGAGACUAUGCAGAUGUGAAUUCUGCUAAUUUGAUUUAUCCAUCCAACUAACAUUCAACAUGGCAUUUUCAUUUUGUCGGUUACUGUUUCUGAUCUGAUUGUCCAGUUUUGUCAUGAAUUCUGCCUCUGAUCUUCUUUCCAUGCUGUGUGGAAUUUUAAUUUGACUGAUGUAUAUUUUGUUUCAAUGGUAAAGGGUAAAAAGGCUUCAGAGUAAGAUGAAGAAAAGAUAGAAGCUAGGACUGAGUAAAAUAGUGAGUAAAAGAGCCUUCAGUUGUUGGCUUCAGCUGCCUCCAGCCACAAAGUGUGCCAGAGAUGUAGCCACACAACCUAGAAAGCAGAAUCAAAAGCUGGUUUUCGAGGUAGGGUGUAGAUCAUAGAUCACCGAUGGAGUGCAUCAAAAGCUAAUUACAUAGUUCUUUUCAUCUGAGAUGUAGCUUUUUCUUUUAUAAAACGAGGCAUUGAUAAGAGGAAAUUCAGAUGUAGCUUUUCAAAAUCCAGUUGUGGAUUCUGCUUUCCAGGAUGUGCCUAAACUCUAGAUCAGAAGCCAGCUCUUCAUUCUUCUUUACAGGUAGGAUUGUUCUGGCUUUGGGGAUUUUGAUUUGGUGGAGACAUAUGCACUGAGAGGAUUCGAAAGGUGUUUCAUACUAUCUGUGUUGUCAAUUUUCAAGGUGUUUCUAAAGGUUUAAGGUCUGGUUUAUCCAAGCUGAGGUGUUGGUCUGAUAAGGUAGGAUUAGGAGGGGAUUUAUGAGGAUUGUUUUUUCAGGAGUUUGCUGUGCGUGAUUAGCUUGGGAAUGUUGUGUCUUAUAAGCCCCAACUACUCAUGCUACAUUUUUCUUUCCUCUUACCCUCUAAGGUUUAUUUAAUCUUAGUUGGUUGUUUCUUCUCUUUGUAACUGGAUUUUGGCACCCCUUGUGCUAAAUCUUAAUAAAUCAUUGCUUAUAAAAAAUAAUACUAAGUUCAUCAUUCGAAACUCAUUCAAUAUGAAGUCAAAUCGUAGAGAACCAACUUCUCAUAGCUUUUACCUAUGUAAACAAUGAUUUUGGUUUUACCGUGAUUCUCGAAUGAGUUCCAAACAUGCACUAAGUAGAAAAGAUGUAGUUUACCUUUAAAGCUUAACAAGUCACAAUUUUUUGGGUCCAGACCACAUGUCAAUUAUUGAUUUCUUUUUUGUUUAAUCUUACUAAGCAAAGGUUAUAAAGAUCCUAAUCCAAAGAAUUAACCCAUAAUGCCUCCUCACUUACAAUCAAAGGACUAAUCAUAUAUUUCUCUUUCAAAUCUUUUAGGAAAGUAAUGGGUGCACACAAAACUUCACUUACACUUAGUGCGGGAUAAGAAGAGAAGAUAAAAGUCUCUUCCAAAAAAAUGAUGAAUAAAAAUGAUAUUAUUUCACAAAUUAGAGUUGACUAAUCAAAUAUAUGAUACGAAUCACUUUAGUGACAUAAAAUGAGUAAAUUUGACCCAGUUAGUCAUGAAUUUUGCACAUAUUGAAAAUGUCUCAUUUUUCUUGGGGGUCAUUCUGAUGAGUACAUGGUAUGCAUCUUAAUAGAGUUAGUUGCCUGGAACUCUGGCUACUGCCAGUUUCAUAUCUUCAUGUUCCCGCACAAAAGACUACGGUUGCUCUAACUUGAAAAAUGCUCACUGACUCUCGCGGAGGUUAAUAAAAAUAAAGUUCCUCUAAUUGUCUAUUACUUCUUUUUACAUAUGUAGUUAUUGAAUUUAGGAUUGAGGACUGAUUGUAUUUAUUUACAUAAAUUGCUCUUGAAUUUUUGUUCCCAAUUUCUGGUAUCAUAACUUUUAAGAGGAUGUGUCCGAUGUGUGAAUUUAUUUCUAAUCCAAGAUAUAGAUGUUCUUGAACUGUUUAUUGUAUGGUGCUUAGUUCUGCUAUAUUUAGCUCACAAAGGCAUGAUACAUGAGAGAUGAUGGCAUGAGCAAUGGUCUAUUGUUGAGAUGUGAGAAUCUGUGGUUUUCUGUUGCUGAGAUGAAAAAUUUAAUUCUCUAUUUGGUCAGCAUAUGUGUGCCAACCACUUAGACCAAAUAUCUAUUGCAGACAUUGCAGAUGUUAUCAAAGGGUCUGAUUCCACAUACAGCUCAGCGGAUAUAUUAGUUUUAUUAGAGAAGUUGCAAGAGGACAAUAAGAGAACAAUAGAGUGAUGAUAGUUGGUGGAAUGGUGCGUAUGAUAUCAAGUUGAUCAGUGCACAAUCUCUUGAAUGGAGAUUCAUGUAGGGAACAAAAAUUGCUGCCAUGAAGUAUGCAGUUUACAUUGGUGGAACACUUAGAGAAGGAUUUUCAAUGUUCAGAAUUUAGACCUAUUUACUUGCUGGUUGGGAGCUUUCUGCUAAUACUGCAAACAAGGAGAUAGAUAAUCUAUGUGGCUGUGUUGGACAUAUUCAUUACUGAGUUUUUGGGGCCCUCUUUGAAAGUUCUUUAGUUUUGUCCAUAAUUUGACUCCACCUAGCUAUAUCUUGAUGUAUUUCAGUGCUGCAAACCUUCAAUAUUUAAUUUGUUUUGGGGCAGAUUUAUCCAGCAGGCGUUUGGUAGGA
Lotus japonicus is the source of this 3205-nucleotide long non-coding RNA. RefSeq lists it as uncharacterized. The record is from RefSeq and is a predicted model, not a curated record. The transcript has 8 exons. NCBI's taxonomy places the organism in Eukaryota, Viridiplantae, Streptophyta, Magnoliopsida, Fabales, Fabaceae.